CCUACGGGAGGCAGCAGUGGAGAAUAUUGCACAAUGGGGGAAACACUGAUGCAGCGACGCCGCGUGCGUGAAGAAGUAUUUCGGUAUGUAAAGCUCUAUCAGCAGGGAAGAAAUAGCGACCUUUGGGUCGCCAGACGGUACCUGACUAAGAAGCCCCGGCUAACUACGUGCCAGCAGCCGCGGUAAUACGGAGGGGGCAAGCGUUAUCCGGAUUUACUGGGUGUAAAGGGAGCGUAGACGGCAGCACAAGUCUGAAGUGAAAUGCCGGGGCUUAACCCCGGAACUGCUUUGGAAACUGUGCAGCUAGAGUGCAGGAGAGGUAAGUGGAAUUCGUAGUGUAGCGGUGAAAUGCGUAGAUAUUAGGAGGAACACCAGUGGCGAAGGCGGCUUACGGGACUGUAACUGACGUUGAGGCUCGAAGGCGUGGGGAGCAAACAGGAUUAGAUACCCGGGUAGUC
RNAcentral lists this ribosomal RNA (458 nucleotides) under uncultured bacterium. Its description in RNAcentral is "partial 16S ribosomal RNA". It matches the Rfam family "Bacterial small subunit ribosomal RNA", at positions 338 to 795 of the family's 1533-position model. The record is from RNAcentral.